Non-coding RNA from Acanthosepion pharaonis, 102 nucleotides. The record is from the annotation of a GenBank genome assembly. Lineage: Eukaryota; Metazoa; Mollusca; Cephalopoda; Sepiida; Sepiidae.
GCUGCGGAAACACCAGUUACCGUACGAUCACCGAAGUUAAGCAACAUCGAGCCUGGUCACUACUUACGUGGAUGAGCGCUUGGGAAUACAAGGUGCUGUAAG